Molecule: ribosomal RNA, 425 nt
Filed under: uncultured bacterium
Lineage: Bacteria
Description: partial 16S ribosomal RNA
Rfam family: Bacterial small subunit ribosomal RNA
Source: RNAcentral
GUGGGGAAUAUUGGACAAUGGGCGAAAGCCUGAUCCAGCCAUGCCGCGUGAGUGAUGAAGGCCUUAGGGUUGUAAAGCUCUUUCAGUAGGGAAGAUAAUGACGGUACCUACAGAAGAAGCCCCGGCUAACUUCGUGCCAGCAGCCGCGGUAAUACGAAGGGGGCUAGCGUUGUUCGGAUUUACUGGGCGUAAAGUGCACGUAGGCGGAUUGGUCAGUUAGAGGUGAAAUCCUGGAGCUCAACUCCAAAACUGCCUUUAAUACUGACAGUCUAGAGUCCAGAAGAGGUGAGAGAAACUCCUAGUGUAGAGGUGGAAUUCGUAGAUAUUAGGAAGAACACCAGUGGCGAAGGCGGCUCACUGGUCUGGUACUGACGCUGAGGUGCGAAAGCGUGGGGAGCAAACAGGAUUAGAAACCCCGGUAGUCC